RNAcentral lists this long non-coding RNA (1646 nucleotides) under Phascolarctos cinereus (koala). RNAcentral describes it as "lncRNA (ENSPCIG00000036315.1)". Lineage: Eukaryota; Metazoa; Chordata; Mammalia; Diprotodontia; Phascolarctidae. The record is from RNAcentral.
GCACCAUGCCUUCUUACAUAAUGCCCCACCACUCCAGGCAGAGCCAUCAGACUCCUCUCUAAGGCUAGCCCUGGGCUCCGAGCACGCUGCCUGCCGCCCAGCUCCACAGAGUCCAACACUGCACACUCUACUCUGAGCGGUGUGAUCGCGAAGCACAGCACCAUAGCAUGCAGUACUUACAUAAGCACCAUGCCUUCUUACAUAAUGCCCCACCACUCCAGGCAAUGCCAUCACACUGCUCUCCGCGGCUAGCCCGGCUCCGAGCACCCUGACUGCAGCCCUACUCCAGGACAGCUCGACAUUGCCCUGGGGAGCCCACGUGGAAGCCCUGCCGCCUGCCCCGGGCGCGGCCGCGAAGCCGCGGCAUCUCCCGAGCCCGGUCCGGCGCUCUGAGCCCUACUCGCUCGCACCACACUGCUCCAGGAGCCCACUCUGCUCGGAGCUCGGCAGCGGAGGACGACUCCCGGCAGUCCACUAUCACAUCUUACCACACCAGGGCUGAGUCGUGUUAUCGCCGCCCUCCCAGAGUCCGGCCCCGCGCCCCCCAGGACCGGAGGCUUCCCCAGGGCGCCAGGGAGCGGUCGGCGAGGGGGAGGCUCCCCCAGGGCGGCUCGGGGCGCCCCCGGCCCCACGCGUGCUGGCACGCCGCCGAGCCUCGUCCAGGCCGCUGGGAAGGCAUGGACCUGCCAGCCUCGACCGCUGCGGCUACGACAGCAGCAACCCGGCGGCCGAGGGUCCCUGCUACCCGCUUCCCCAGGGCCCGGCCCUCCGAAGGCGGCCCCCCACGGCGCGAAGCGGUCCUGGCCGGCGCCCCCCGCCUCCCUAGGGGUCCGGAGGGAGCCCUCCCCCUCGCCCGCCCUUUGUCACCUUCACCCGGGAGGGAAGGAGGCGAUGGCAUUCACCACGCCGCCUCCCCCCAGUCGAUGCCCGGCCCUUCCUUCAUCUGCUGGCUGGCACCUGUCGCCCCCUCCUCCACCCCGCCCCUCCCCCAGCCUGGGCGCCCCCCCCCCCUUUCCUCUCCUCUAGCGCCUCAGGCCCCGCCAGAGCAGGAGGGGGUAGCAAUAGCUGAUCCGGGCCACCGCCCCCUCCCCCUCCCCAGGGCCAACGGCUCCCACGGCGCCUCCCCGGGGGGGAGGGGCGGAGAUCCAGGCUUGGGAUAGGAGCGCAGCUGCAGCUACGCACCUGUUAGAUCCUGUGAAUCACCCGGAGCGGACUGUCCAGGCUCUCCCACUCCCUGCUCAACUCACACUUCAACUCCUUGCUCAGGAUGUGGAUAAGAAGACAUUUUUUGGCUGCGUUUUCUAACGGGUCUAAGUGAACACACGCCAACAACUCUAGGCGAGAAGGUUUUUUCCACUUUCUGGAGCCCAACCAUGAGCUUUGGCAAAAGGACACCGAUAGGACAACAAUAAUUGACUUCCAGAAUUAGGUCAGGCUCAAGGGAUGCCUGAAUACAGACAACAGCCUAAAAGGAAGAAGUUGGCACGUCUAAAAUAGACCAGAAAGGAUAGAGAAAGAAAAUACAAGAGCGACUUAUGCACACCAGAAAAACUGGACAAGAUGAAAGAUGUGCCUCUCUCGAGUCGUAUAAACAGAAGGGAUGCCAAAAAUCAUACCUACACAAUAAAAAAGUGUAGACCAACUCA